RNAcentral lists this ribosomal RNA (465 nucleotides) under uncultured bacterium. RNAcentral describes it as "partial 16S ribosomal RNA". It matches the Rfam family "Bacterial small subunit ribosomal RNA", at positions 338 to 795 of the family's 1533-position model. The record is from RNAcentral.
CCUACGGGCGGCAGCAGUGGGGAAUAUUCCGCAAUGGGCGAAAGCCUGACGCAGCGACGCCGCGUGAGGGAUGAAGGUCUUCGGAUCGUAAACCUCUGUCAGCAGGGAAGAACGGUCACUGUGCUAAUCAGCAGCGAAUUGACGGUACCUGCAAAGGAAGCACCGGCUAACUCCGUGCCAGCAGCCGCGGUAAUACGGAGGGUGCGAGCGUUAACCGGAAUUACUGGGCGUAAAGCGCUCGUAGGCGGUAUGUCAAGUCAAGGGUGAAAUCCCCGCGCUGAACGUGGGAAGGGCCUUGGAAACUGGCAAACUGGAGUGUGUGAGAGGAAAGUGGAAUUACAGGUGUAGGGGUGAAAUGCGGAGAGAUCUGGAGGAACAUCAGUGGCGAAGGCGACUAUCUGGCACAUAACUGACGCUGAGGAGCGAAAGCGUGGGGAGCAAACAGGAUUAGAUACCCUUGUAGUC